This 253-nucleotide ribosomal RNA is filed under the name uncultured bacterium. RNAcentral's name for it is "partial 16S ribosomal RNA". It matches the Rfam family "Bacterial small subunit ribosomal RNA", at positions 524 to 776 of the family's 1533-position model. The record is from RNAcentral.
UACGAAGGGGGCUAGCGUUGCUCGGAAUCACUGGGCGUAAAGCGCACGUAGGCGGAUCUUUAAGUCAGGGGUGAAAUCCUGGAGCUCAACUCCAGAACUGCCUUUGAUACUGGGGAUCUCGAGUCCGGGAGAGGUGAGUGGAACUGCGAGUGUAGAGGUGAAAUUCGUAGAUAUUCGCAAGAACACCAGUGGCGAAGGCGGCUCGCUGGGCCGGUACUGACGCUGAGGUGCGAAAGCGUGGGGAGCAAACAGG